RNAcentral lists this long non-coding RNA (995 nucleotides) under Sorghum bicolor (sorghum). Its description in RNAcentral is "long non-coding RNA (SBIC_LNC016349)". Lineage: Eukaryota; Viridiplantae; Streptophyta; Magnoliopsida; Poales; Poaceae. The record is from RNAcentral.
UACCUUAGAACUGGGUUUGUUGUCAAACAGGUCACUGUUAUCGGCAGUUGAUAUGUCUAAGCCGGUAAGCAUGAGUACAUCAGCAAGAGUAGGUGAAGCAGGACCAUGGCCGAAUACAAAUGCAUUAAGCAUGUCUGACCAAAAGUAGGAAGCAGCUAUCAGCAGCGACUCGUUCCUCUCCAUAUCGGCAAUGGAUAGCCUGAUACACUGGUCCAAUUUUCGUUCACCCCAUUAGACUUCAUUUGAAUUGCUGAUUCUCAAGAACCAGUCUUUCCAUCCCUUGGUGGGGCUGGGCCAGGAACGGAAAGCAUCCUUCCAUAGAUCUAAGGAGAAAUUUUCGGCUCUAAAAGGGAUCCUAUUUGUCUCUGCGUUUAUCAGAUCGGUAGGAUCUGGGUUUCCCAGUGGGCCAAGACACUGGAAGUGAGGUUGAUCGGUAGGAAUCAUGAUCUUAUCGGCCAACUCCUAAAAGGUUUUGAGAAUGGAGGAACAGAAAAGAAACAAAAAGAAAGAAGAAAAAAUACUCACUAAAAAGAAUCACAGAUGAACAGGAGUACAGCAAAAGUAUAAAAGAAAGGGGGUGGUAAACUGACCUCGGGGACGACGAAGUUGAUGGCCAUUUCUUCCUGAGAGAAGGAGAGAUCGAAGACCUCAAAGAUUGUUGGAGGAAAUCCUUGCUGGAGUUCUUAGGAGUUCUCAAGCAAUGCUGCCGCCAGGAAAGUAGAUUUGAGGCUGUAGAAUGACAAGAUGGAGGAGGAGUACCAAAGAAGGAGGUAUUUAUAGGACAAAAGGGGGCGAGGGAAAAUCUAACUUAUCUCUUUGUGCAUCCGUGAAAUCCGAGGGUGUUCAGGUAGAUAUGGUAACUGUUCGCACGAUAAUCAAGGGAUUGUGCAGAUGAUUUGACAGCAGGCGGUGAAGAUAUCUUACUGUGCAAGAUCGCCUGGUCGGUCCAUCGACAGUCCUCUCUAACGGUUAUAUUGCCGAUGAGCACAUUCCGG